RNAcentral lists this ribosomal RNA (676 nucleotides) under uncultured bacterium. RNAcentral's name for it is "bacterial SSU rRNA". It matches the Rfam family "Bacterial small subunit ribosomal RNA", at positions 66 to 752 of the family's 1533-position model. The record is from RNAcentral.
ACGGUGUCUUCGGACUUAGUGGCGCACGGGUGCGUAACACGUAUGCAACCUACCUUACAUUGGGGGAUAGCCUUUCGAAAGGGAGAUUAAUACCGCAUAAGACAGUAGUCUGGCAUCAGACAGCUGUUAAAGAUUUAUCGAUGUAAGCUGGGCAUGCGACCAAUUAGUUAGUUGGCGAGGUAAUGGCUCACCAAGACUAUGAUUGGUAGGGGAACUGAGAGGUCAAUCCCCCACACUGGCACUGAGAUACGGGCCAGACUCCUACGGGAGGCAGCAGUAGGGAAUAUUGGGCAAUGGACGCAAGUCUGACCCAGCCAUGCCGCGUGCAGGAAGAAGGCGUUAUGCGUUGUAAACUGCUUUUAUACAGGAAGAAACGACUCUUGCGAGAGGCAUUGACGGUACUGUAUGAAUAAGCACCGGCUAACUCCGUGCCAGCAGCCGCGGUAAUACGGAGGGUGCAAGCGUUGUCCGGAUUUAUUGGGUUUAAAGGGUGCGCAGGUGGUUUAUUAAGUCAGUGGUGAAAGACGGUCGCUCAACGAUUGCAGUGCCAUUGAGACUGGUAGACUUGAGUAAAGUAAAGGUGGGCGGAAUUGAUAGUGUAGCGGUGAAAUGCAUAGAUAUUAUCAAGAACUCCCAUUGCGUAGGCAGCUCACUUGGCUUUUACUGACACUCAUGC